GACAUUAGAGCACAAAGUAAAGCGUUGCUGCAUUCCUGCAUUAAUUCGACUCGCUUUAAAUAGUAAAGUUUUCUCAUUUCAUAAUUCUUCUUAUUCACGUUCGAUCGUUAUCGCUAUGCUGAAGGAAAUAAUUGGGUUUAGUUUAUCGAUUUUUUCACUUUUCGUAACCGAAACGCCGAGAGUGUCUUUACCUGCCCAACAUGAGCAAGAGGACGCGAGUACUGAUGGAAAUAUACAUUUUAGACUAAUGGAAAAUGAUUCCAGAAGUAGAUAUAUAAACAAAGAAUAUGACCUGUCAGAUUUGAACGACGAAAGUGAAAUCUUCAUGGCUGAUGGAAGUCAACUUGAAACAUACUGCAGUAACAUGCAACAUUCGAGAAACUUUAAAUCAUCUUUGUGGAAAAGUUUAUCAACAAGUAUCAAUCUCACGUUUGCUACCAUGUUGCCAACUCUUUUUGCUUUGACAUUGGUGUAUGUUGACACGAAUACCACCUACAGCUGUUUGGCAAGGCGAAAUCACAAAAACAAGACAUUAUCAUUAUCUGUGAAACGUAUUCACGUCUUUGGUGAUUGCGUGCAGUCUUUUGUGUUAUAUUUAUGGUUUCCAUUGUCAAUGAUGAUGUUAUUUGGAUGGAAAGAAUUUAAAGAAAAGUUCACAUCUGCGCUUUAUGUUUGUGUCAUAUUCGGAGAGUUGGUCGUUAUUUACCACUUGAUUUCAUUUCAGUUUAAUGUUUACGAUGCACAUAGCUACUACAGAAUCCCUCCAAGUAUUUUAUUUUGUGUCUGUUUAUUUUGUUCCGGCUUUGUGAUCCUUUACAAUGUUCGUGCUUGUGAUCGCCACGUCACUUACUCUAAUUGUCAUAUUUCAGCGCUUCUUCUAAUGGAAAAUGUAUUUUGUGCUUUUAUUUCUUACGCUAACCAGUACGAACUUAUUCCUGCGUUUAAUGGCUUUCGAAAAAAGCUUUAUAAAUUUCUAGCAACAUCAAUCAAAUAAGUGUUACGUGUAAAUGACUUUGAAUGAGCUUUAAUAUGUUAACCCCCCCUUUUUUUCCAGCUCUCGCCGCCACAACAUCAUAUUCCCGUGACGUAUAUUAAACUGCAAAUUUCGGUUGUCAGAUUUUUGUUUAUUUUUGUUCUCUUUCCUUUUUAGAGUAAUAUUCCUUGUUGGAUAAACAUGGUUGGUACUUCAUGUGGACAUAGUUCUAUAAAAGUGUUCAGUAAACUGUAAAGUUUGGAAUCUUUGUCGUGAUAUGUCUUAAGGUGCUGUUUAUUAAUCGUCCUUUUUUAUACGUGGAAUAUAAGAAAAAACUUUAUUCGAUCGUCGUUUCAAUGCUAGAGGAGAUAGUUACAUUUAUUUUAUCUGUGUUUUCACUCUUCAAAACACCUCAAGUGUCUUCUGAUGAGGAAACCGAAAAUCUAGAAAUCACUGAUGUUGACUUUGAGUCUGAUAAUGCUCAAAAUUGGUACAUAAACAAAGAAUAUGAGUACCUCGGUGUUGAAGACAACUAUAGUGAAACAAGUGUUCUAUUGUCCAGUUUAAGAUCUCAAAAUGCAACCGUCGUCGAUAACAUGCAAAUGACUCGCAGAAAAUUCUGUGAUUCGUUUCGGAAUAGUAUAUUGACAACAUUAAAUAUCACUUUGGCGAGCAUCGUACAGGCAUCUGUUGCCAUUGUAUUUCGCUAGGUUAACAUGAAUUCAACCGAAGUUUGUCAAGAAUGGCAGAAUCACAACAACAACAAAGCCAUGGUAUUUCUUUACGUCAACAUGAAUACAACCUACAUUUGUUGGGAAUGGCAGAAACGCGGCAACAACAACAACACGCUACCAUCAUCUGUAAAGCGCGUCCGCGUUUUGGGAGAUGACGUGGAAUCAUUUGAAAUUUAUAUGUGGGUCCCACUCACUUUGAUGAUACUACUUGGUUUAAAGGAGUUCACGACAAAGUUUUUCUCCAUUGUUUAUAUAUAUCUUAUAUCUGGAGAAUUACUUGUUAUAUAUACUGAUUUGUUUUCAAUUCAAUGUUAAAGAUGGUCCAAAACAUUACUAGAGAAUCCCCAUAUACAUCUUGUACUUUGCUUCGUUGUUUUAUUCGUGUUCAGUGUUGCUUAGAACUUUAGAACCAGUUGCAUGCACGUUUGUUUGGAUGGUCUAAAUAAACACAUUCGUUAUUCACACUGAAUAUUUUCUCUGGACAAGCAUCAUGAAAAGAAACGCCAGACACUUUUUGACUGAAGCACUUCGUGGUAACACCCACUGCUUUGUCAGUCGAAACUCGCUUGCGUUUUUCUACCCAGAAGAAUUUGGCCAAAUUUAGGCAGCAUGUCAACAUCCAUCACACUUGCAUUUUACCAAUAUGCUCCAAUUUUGAAUUUCAUGAACUCAUGUUAAAUUGAAUGUGAUAUUUUAUUCAAAUGA
Xenia sp. Carnegie-2017 is the source of this 2412-nucleotide long non-coding RNA. RefSeq lists it as uncharacterized. NCBI's taxonomy places the organism in Eukaryota, Metazoa, Cnidaria, Anthozoa, Malacalcyonacea, Xeniidae. The record is from RefSeq and is a predicted model, not a curated record. The transcript has 2 exons.